CACAGCAGGUACAAAAGUGUCUUAUGUAAACAGUGACUUAAAAAUAAAUCUGUCAAGUGCUCUCUCUGCAGUUGCUAGAUAUCCUAGUCAUCCUCUAACAGCUGCUCCAAAAAGGAUGUACAUUUUCUCAUUUUUUUAAUAUUUUGUAUAAAAGCAGAUAGGAAAAUCAAUAGCAAAUGGAAACCACUCCUCUUCUAAACGGAUUCUAUCCAAUGUCUAUUCCAGCAGGAAGCCUCUAUACGAUAGGAAGGGUUUCCAAGAGGAACCCCAGCUGAUGAAGCACCGAUGCAAGAAAAUAACAUUGUAUCAAGCAUGUCAGGCAGUAUUUACAGUCUUCACCCCAGUAUGAAUGCUUUCACAGAUGAGCCCUGCCAACACAGCCUUUGAUGUAGUGAGAUGGGAAGUUCGGCAAGUCGUUCCAAGUUCCUUCCCCAGCUCCUGCUUUCAUUCUCCGUCUUGUUCCAGAUAAAUGGGGCCCAGUCCUGCUCCACCUUGAAGUUAAUGGAGGCACAAGAAAAGGUCUCUAUUGCUCUAGGGCCAAAUCCUGCAAGGCAAGUGGUGCCCCAAUCUCUGAGGGUACAUGGCAUUUUGUAGAAGGUGCUCCACACCCUAGAGGAUUGGAUGCUUACAGCAUGGAGAUCUGCUCUGCAGCAAUGAAAUGAAAAGAAUUACUGGGGCCACCUUGAAAUGAUGUAUUUUUACUCCUUUAUCACCACGUGGAUGGGAAAUUAAUGCCUGAUGCCUGAUUCUGCAUGCCUUGCACACUCAAAACUCCCAGUGACCAUCUCUUAAAUUGUUUGAUUCAUGUAACAAUUGUAUGUUCAAGCAGUUCUUCUGCAUCAUAAUGUCAUAUUACAUAGAUUCCUGCCUCUAACCUUUGAAUACAUAUUUCACUUAUGUCUACCACAUAGUCAAAUCAUUCUUUUUGGAGUGGGGGUAAAACUCAUAAAAAUUUAGUUCAUGAGUCAAGUUCUGCUCAAGCUGAAGCUAAAACUCCCAUUGAAUUCGAUGCUAGCAGGA
Molecule: long non-coding RNA, 1020 nt
Organism: Mauremys reevesii (Reeves's turtle)
Lineage: Eukaryota; Metazoa; Chordata; Testudines; Geoemydidae
Exons: 3
Source: RefSeq, a predicted model, not a curated record